RNAcentral lists this ribosomal RNA (386 nucleotides) under uncultured bacterium. RNAcentral describes it as "bacterial SSU rRNA". It matches the Rfam family "Bacterial small subunit ribosomal RNA", at positions 28 to 416 of the family's 1533-position model. The record is from RNAcentral.
GACGAACGCUGGCGGCGUGCUUAACACAUGCAAGUCGAGCGGUAAGGCCCUUUCGGGGGUACACGAGCGGCGAACGGGUGAGUAACACGUGGGUGACCUGCCCUUAGCUCUGGGAUAAGCCUGGGAAACUGGGUCUAAUACCGGAUAUGACUCCAUGACGCAUGUUGUGGGGUGGAAAGCCUUGUGCGGCUAGGGAUGGGCCCGCGGCCUAUCAGCUUGUUGGUGGGGUGAUGGCCUACCAAGGCGACGACGGGUAGCCGGCCUGAGAGGGCGACCGGCCACACUGGGACUGAGACACGGCCCAGACUCCUACGGGAGGCAGCAGUGGGAAUCUUGCGCAAUGGGCGAAAGCCUGACGCAGCGACGCCGCGUGAGGGAUGACGGCC